GUGCGCGUGCGCAGGGAUAAGAGAGCGGUCUGGACAGCGCGUGGCCGGCGCCGCUGUGGGGACAGCAUGAGCGGCGGUUGGAUGGCGCAGGUUGGAGCGUGGCGAACAGGGGCUCUGGGCCUGGCGCUGCUGCUGCUGCUCGGCCUCGGACUAGGCCUGGAGGCCGCCGCGAGCCCGCUUUCCACCCCGACCUCUGCCCAGGCCGCAGAGGAGAUAGACCCUCCCUGCUGACCUGAGCCCGGGAGCCUGACCCAGGGCAUGUGGAAAAAUGGCCCGUCCCUCAGUCUCUUUAACCACUGAGUUUGGAGGUCUCCCUGGCAGAUCAUCUCGCUAUGAGGAGCCUGGUGAAGACUCUGGGAUCAGCGAGACCUGAGUUCGAAGCCCAACUCCGCUACCAGCUCUUUUUUUUUUCUUUUUUGUGGUGACGGAGUCUCGUUCUGUCGCCCAGGCUGGAGUGCAGCAGUAUGAUUUCGGUUCAUUGCAACCUCCAUC
This 492-nucleotide long non-coding RNA is filed under the name Homo sapiens (human). Its description in RNAcentral is "non-protein coding lnc-CD320-1:1". Lineage: Eukaryota; Metazoa; Chordata; Mammalia; Primates; Hominidae. The record is from RNAcentral.